RNAcentral lists this ribosomal RNA (501 nucleotides) under uncultured bacterium. Its description in RNAcentral is "partial 16S ribosomal RNA". It matches the Rfam family "Bacterial small subunit ribosomal RNA", at positions 30 to 523 of the family's 1533-position model. The record is from RNAcentral.
AUUGAACGCUGGCGGCAGGCUUAACACAUGCAAGUCGAGCGGAGAUGAGGUGCUUGCACCUUAUCUUAGCGGCGGACGGGUGAGUAAUGCUUAGGAAUCUGCCUAUUAGUGGGGGACAACAUUCCGAAAGGAAUGCUAAUACCGCAUACGUCCUACGGGAGAAAGCAGGGGAUCUUCGGACCUUGCGCUAAUAGAUGAGCCUAAGUCGGAUUAGCUAGUUGGUGGGGUAAAGGCCUACCAAGGCGACGAUCUGUAGCGGGUCUGAGAGGAGGAUCCGCCACACUGGGACUGAGACACGGCCCAGACUCCUACGGGAGGCAGCAGUGGGGAAUAUUGGACAAUGGGGGGAACCCUGAUCCAGCCAUGCCGCGUGUGUGAAGAAGGCAUUAUGGUUGUAAAGCACUUUAAGCGAGGAGGAGGCUACUGAGACUAAUACUCUUGGAUAGUGGACGUUACUCGCAGAAUAAGCACCGGCUAACUCUGUGCCAGCAGCCGCCGUAA